AUCCAGCUGACGAGUCCCAAAUAGGACGAAACGUGCGUCAUGUAU
This is a non-coding RNA of Schistosoma haematobium, 45 nucleotides long. The record is from Rfam. NCBI's taxonomy places the organism in Eukaryota, Metazoa, Platyhelminthes, Trematoda, Strigeidida, Schistosomatidae.